Molecule: unclassified non-coding RNA, 332 nt
Filed under: soil metagenome
Description: partial contains 5.8S ribosomal RNA, internal transcribed spacer 2, and large subunit ribosomal RNA
Rfam family: 5.8S ribosomal RNA (bases 1-120)
Source: RNAcentral
GAUGAAGAACGUAGCGAAAUGCGAUAAGUAAUGUGAAUUGCAGAACUCAGUGAAUCAUCGAAUCUUUGAACGCACAUUGCGCCCGCUAGUAUUCUGGCGGGCAUGCCUGUUCGAGCGUCAUUUCAACCAUCAAGCCCUAGGCUUGCGUUGGAGCCCUGCGGCUGCCGCAGGCUCCCAAAUCCAGUGGCGGGCUCGUCGUCGUACCGAGUGCAGUAAACAUCCUCGCUCAGGGAACGUGACGGGUUCUUGCCGUGAAACCCCCCACAUAUCAAGGUUGACCUCGGAUCAGGUAGGAAUACCCGCUGAACUUAAGCAUAUCAAUAAGCGGAGGA